GUAGGUGGCAAGCGUUGUCCGGAAUUAUUGGGCGUAAAGCGCGCGCAGGCGGUUCUUUAAGUCUGAUGUGAAAGCCCACGGCUCAACCGUGGAGGGUCAUUGGAAACUGGAGAACUUGAGUACAGAAGAGGAAAGCGGAAUUCCACGUGUAGCGGUGAAAGGCGUAGAGAUGUGGAGGAACACCAGUGGCGAAGGCGGCUUUCUGGUCUGUAACUGACGCUGAGGCGCGAAAGCGUGGGGAGCAAACAGGGAUUAGAUACCCUGGUAGUCCACGCCGUAAACGAUGAGUGCUAAGUGUUAGGGGGUUUCCCGCCCCUUAGUGCUGCAGCUAACGCAUUAAGCACUCCGCCUGGGGAGUACGGCCGCAAGGCUG
RNAcentral lists this ribosomal RNA (373 nucleotides) under uncultured organism. Its description in RNAcentral is "partial 16S ribosomal RNA". It matches the Rfam family "Bacterial small subunit ribosomal RNA", at positions 527 to 896 of the family's 1533-position model. The record is from RNAcentral.